CUACGGGCGGCACCAGUGAGGAAUAUUGCACAAUGGAGGAAACUCUGAUGCAGCAACGCCGCGUGGAGGAUGACGCAUUUCGGUGUGUAAACUCCUUUUAUAUGUCAAGAAAAUGACGGUAGCAUAUGAAUAAGCUCCGGCUAACUCCGUGCCAGCAGCCGCGGUAAUACGGAGGGAGCAAGCGUUACUCGGAAUCACUGGGCGUAAAGGACGCGUAGGCGGGAUAGAAAGUCAGGUGUGAAAUCCUAUGGCUCAACCAUAGAACUGCACUUGAAACUUCUAACCUAGAGUAUGGGAGGGGAAGAUGGAAUUAGUGGUGUAGGGGUAAAAUCCGUAGAUAUCACUAGGAAUACCAAAAGCGAAGGCGAUCUUCUGGAACAAUACUGACGCUAAGGCGCGAAAGCGUGGGGAGCAAACAGGAUUAGAUACCCUUGUAGUC
RNAcentral lists this ribosomal RNA (439 nucleotides) under uncultured bacterium. RNAcentral's name for it is "partial 16S ribosomal RNA". It matches the Rfam family "Bacterial small subunit ribosomal RNA", at positions 339 to 795 of the family's 1533-position model. The record is from RNAcentral.